RNAcentral lists this ribosomal RNA (1398 nucleotides) under uncultured bacterium. RNAcentral describes it as "16S ribosomal RNA". It matches the Rfam family "Bacterial small subunit ribosomal RNA". The record is from RNAcentral.
UGGCGGUGUGCCUGAGAUAUGCAAGUCGAACGUCUUUUUGCCGCAAGGCAGAAGGUAGUGGCGGACGGCUGAGUAACACAUAGGGACUUACCCCUUUUUGAAGGAUAGCCCAUCGAAAGGUGGGAUAAUACUUCAUGGUAUAGGUACCGUAAGGUAUUUAUUAAAGAGAUUAACUUCUCGAUAAGGGAUGGACCUGUGGCUUAUCAGAUAGUUGGUGGGGUAACGGCCUACCAAGUCUACGACGAGUAGCUGGCCUGAGAAGGUGGUCAGCCAGACUGGAACUGAGACACGGUCCAGACUCCUACGGGAGGCAGCAGUGAGGAAUCUUCCACAAUGGGCGAAAGCCUGAUGGAGCAACGCCGCGUGCAGGAUGAAGGCCUUCGGGUCGUAAACUGCUUUUAAAAGUGAAGAAUAUGACGGUAGCUUUUGAAUAAGCACCGGCUAACUACGUGCCAGCAGCCGCGGUCAUACGUAGGAUGCAAGCAUUAUCCGGAGUGACUGGGCGUAAAGAGUUGCGUAGGUGGUUUGUUAAGUGAAUAGUGAAAUCUGGUGGCUCAACCAUUCAGACUAUUGUUCAAACUGGCAAACUCGAGAAUAGCAGAGGUAACUGGAAUUUCUAGUGUAGGAGUGAAAUCCGUAGAUAUUAGAAGGAACACCAAUGGCGUCGGCAGGUUACUGGGCUAUUUCUGACACUGAGGCACGAAAGCGUGGGGAGCGAACCGGAUUAGAUACCCGGGUAGUCCACGCCGUAAACUAUGGAUACUAGCUGUUGGAGGUAUCGACCCCUUCAGUAGCGUAGCUAACGCGUUAAGUAUCCCGCCUGUGUAGUACGAUCGCAAGAUUAAAACAUAAAGGAAUUGACGGGGACCCGCACAAGCGGUGGAGCGUGUUCUUUAAUUCGACGCUAAACGAAGAACCUUACCAGGGUUUGACAUCCUUGGAAUUUCUGUGAAAGCAGAAAGUACUUUAUUGGACCAAGAGACAGGUGAUGCAUGGCCGUCGUCAGCUCGUGUCGUGAGAUGUUUGGUUAAGUCCAUCAACGAGCGCAACCCUUGUGAAUAGUUGUAUUUUUCUAUUCAGACUGCCCCGGUAACGGGGAGGAAGGAGGGGAUGAUGUCAGGUCAGUAUUUCCCUUAUACCCUGGGCUAGAAACGCGCUACAAUGGCUGGUACAAUGCGCAGCGAAGUCGCGAGACGGAGCUAAUCGCAUCAAAACCAGUCCCAGUUCGGAUUGUAGGCUGAAACUCGCCUGCAUGAAGUUGGAAUCGCUAGUAAUCGCAGAUCAGCAUGCUGCGGUGAAUACGUUCCCGGGUCUUGUACACACCGCCCGUCAAACCAUGAAAGUCACCAACACCCGAAGUCCGAUUCGUCGGCCUAAGGUGGGGGGGAUAAUUGGGGU